GUAGGAAUCUGCCCAUCUGUGGGGGAUACCAGUUGGAAACGACUGUUAAUACCGCAUAAUAUCUGCGGAUUAAAGGUGGCCUUUGUGCUGCCGCAGAUGGAUGAGCCUGCGUUGGAUUAGCUAGUUGGUAGGGUAAGGGCCUACCAAGGCUACGAUCCAUAGCUGAUUUGAGAGGAUGAUCAGCCACAUUGGGACUGAGACACGGCCCAAACUCCUACGGGAGGCAGCAGUGGGGAAUAUUGGACAAUGGGGGAAACCCUGAUCCAGCAAUGCCAUGUGUGUGAAGAAGGCUCUAGGGUUGUAAAGCACUUUAGUUGGGGAGGAAAGCCUAUAAGUUAAUAGCUUGUAGGAAGGACGUUACCCAAAGAAUAAGGACCGGCUAACUCCGUGCCAGCAGCCGCGGUAAUACGGGGGGUCCGAGCGUUAAUCGGAAUUACUGGGCGUAAAGGGUCUGUAGGUGGUUUGUUAAGUCAGAUGUGAAAGCCCAGGGCUCAACCUUGGAACUGCAUUUGAUACUGGCAAACUAGAGUAUGGUAGAGGAAUGGGGAAUUUCUGGUGUAGCGGUGAAAUGCGUAGAGAUCAGAAGGAACACCAAUGGCGAAGGCAACAUUCUGGAUCAAUACUGACACUGAGGGACGAAAGCGUGGGGAUCAAACAGGAUUAGAUACCCUGGUAGUCCACGCUGUAAACGAUGAGUACUAGCUGUUGGAUUCGGUGUAAAGGAUCUAGUGGCGCAGCUAACGCGUUAAGUACUCCGCCUGGGGACUACGGCCGCAAGGCUAAAACUCAAAGGAAUUGACGGGGACCCGCACAAGCGGUGGAGCAUGUGGUUUAAUUCGAUGCAACGCGAAGAACCUUACCUGGUCUUGACAUCCUGCGAACUUUCUAGAGAUAGAUUGGUGCCUUCGGGAACGCAGUGACAGGUGCUGCACGGCUGUCGUCAGCUCGUGUUGUGAAAUGUUGGGUUAAGUCCCGCAACGAGCGCAACCCCUAUUGAUAGUUACCAUCAUUAAGUUGGGUACUCUAUUGAGACUGCCGCUGACAAGGCGGAGGAAGGUGGGGACGACGUCAAGUCAUCAUGGCCCUUACGACCAGGGCUACACACGUGCUACAAUGGGUAUUACAGAGGGCUGCGAAGGUGCGAGCUGGAGCGAAACUCAGAAAGGUACUCUUAGUCCGGAUUGCAGUCUGCAACUCGACUGCAUGAAGUCGGAAUCGCUAGUAAUCGCAGGUCAGAAUACUGCGGUGAAUACGUUCCCGGGUCUUGUACACACCGCCCGUCACACCAUGGGAGUGGGUUGCUCCAGAAGUAGAUAGUUUAACGAAUGGGCGUUUACCACGGAGUGAUUCAUGACUGGGGUGAAGUCGUAACAAGGUAGCCGUAGGGGAACCUGCGGCUGGAUCACCUCCUUA
This 1413-nucleotide ribosomal RNA is filed under the name Francisella noatunensis. Its description in RNAcentral is "16S ribosomal RNA". It matches the Rfam family "Bacterial small subunit ribosomal RNA". The record is from RNAcentral. Lineage: Bacteria; Pseudomonadati; Pseudomonadota; Gammaproteobacteria; Thiotrichales; Francisellaceae.